RNAcentral lists this transfer RNA (85 nucleotides) under Verrucomicrobiota bacterium. RNAcentral describes it as "Verrucomicrobia bacterium (groundwater metagenome) tRNA-Leu". It matches the Rfam family "tRNA". Rfam says of the family: Transfer RNA (tRNA) molecules are approximately 80 nucleotides in length. Their secondary structure includes four short double-helical elements and three loops (D, anti-codon, and T loops). Lineage: Bacteria; Pseudomonadati; Verrucomicrobiota. The record is from RNAcentral.
GCGCGUGUGGUGGAAUUGGCAGACACGCUACUUUGAGGUGGUAGUGGCGCAAGCCGUGCAGGUUCAAGUCCUGCCACGCGCACCA